CGGGGCGUGGCGCAGCCUGGUAGCGCAUCUGCUUUGGGAGCAGAGGGUCGUGAGUUCGAAUCUCACCGCCCCGACCA
Molecule: transfer RNA, 77 nt
Filed under: Accumulibacter sp.
Lineage: Bacteria; Pseudomonadati; Pseudomonadota; Betaproteobacteria
Description: tRNA-Pro
Rfam family: tRNA
About the family: Transfer RNA (tRNA) molecules are approximately 80 nucleotides in length. Their secondary structure includes four short double-helical elements and three loops (D, anti-codon, and T loops).
Source: RNAcentral